UCCCUGGUGGCUUAGAGGUUAAAGCGUCUGCCUCCAAUGCGGAAGACCGGGGUUCGAUUUCUGGGUUGGGAA
Transfer RNA from Ovis aries (sheep), 72 nucleotides. It matches the Rfam family "tRNA". From Rfam's summary of the family: Transfer RNA (tRNA) molecules are approximately 80 nucleotides in length. Their secondary structure includes four short double-helical elements and three loops (D, anti-codon, and T loops). The record is from Rfam. NCBI's taxonomy places the organism in Eukaryota, Metazoa, Chordata, Mammalia, Artiodactyla, Bovidae.